RNAcentral lists this ribosomal RNA (550 nucleotides) under Escherichia coli. RNAcentral's name for it is "partial 23S ribosomal RNA". It matches the Rfam family "Bacterial large subunit ribosomal RNA", at positions 2381 to 2925 of the family's 2925-position model. The record is from RNAcentral. Lineage: Bacteria; Pseudomonadati; Pseudomonadota; Gammaproteobacteria; Enterobacterales; Enterobacteriaceae. RNAcentral also lists the same sequence under 1 other name.
GUGACGGCGCGAGCAGGUGCGAAAGCAGGUCAUAGUGAUCCGGUGGUUCUGAAUGGAAGGGCCAUCGCUCAACGGAUAAAAGGUACUCCGGGGAUAACAGGCUGAUACCGCCCAAGAGUUCAUAUCGACGGCGGUGUUUGGCACCUCGAUGUCGGCUCAUCACAUCCUGGGGCUGAAGUAGGUCCCAAGGGUAUGGCUGUUCGCCAUUUAAAGUGGUACGCGAGCUGGGUUUAGAACGUCGUGAGACAGUUCGGUCCCUAUCUGCCGUGGGCGCUGGAGAACUGAGGGGGGCUGCUCCUAGUACGAGAGGACCGGAGUGGACGCAUCACUGGUGUUCGGGUUGUCAUGCCAAUGGCACUGCCCGGUAGCUAAAUGCGGAAGAGAUAAGUGCUGAAAGCAUCUAAGCACGAAACUUGCCCCGAGAUGAGUUCUCCCUGAGACUUAGAGUCUCCUGAAGGAACGUUGAAGACGACGACGUUGAUAGGCCGGGUGUGUAAGCGCAGCGAUGCGUUGAGCUAACCGGUACUAAUGAACCGUGAGGCUUAACCUU